AUUUAUGUAGUUUAAAAAACAUUACAUUUUCACUGUAAAGAUAAAGGAAACUUUCAUAAAUA
This 62-nucleotide transfer RNA is filed under the name Neotermes koshunensis. Its description in RNAcentral is "tRNA-Glu". It matches the Rfam family "tRNA". Rfam says of the family: Transfer RNA (tRNA) molecules are approximately 80 nucleotides in length. Their secondary structure includes four short double-helical elements and three loops (D, anti-codon, and T loops). RNAcentral also lists the same sequence under 3 other names. The record is from RNAcentral. Lineage: Eukaryota; Metazoa; Arthropoda; Insecta; Blattodea; Kalotermitidae.